GUACACUCCUGCGGGAGGCAGCAGUGGGGAAUUUUGGACAAUGGGCGAAAGCCUGAUCCAGCAAUGCCGCGUGAGUGAAGAAGGCCUUCGGGUUGUAAAGCUCUUUUGUCAGGGAAGAAACGGUGAAAGCUAAUAUCUUUUGCUAAUGACGGUACCUGAAGAAUAAGCACCGGCUAACUACGUGCCAGCAGCCGCGGUAAUACGUAGGGUGCAAGCGUUAAUCGGAAUUACUGGGCGUAAAGCGUGCGCAGGCGGUUUUGUAAGUCUGAUGUGAAAUCCCCGGGCUCAACCUGGGAAUUGCAUUGGAGACUGCAAGGCUAGAAUCUGGCAGAGGGGGGUAGAAUUCCACGUGUAGCAGUGAAAUGCGUAGAUAUGUGGAGGAACACCGAUGGCGAAGGCAGCCCCCUGGGUCAAGAUUGACGCUCAUGCACGAAAGCGUGGGGAGCAAACAGGAUUAGAUACCCGUGUAGUCCCAUG
Molecule: ribosomal RNA, 477 nt
Filed under: uncultured organism
Description: partial 16S ribosomal RNA
Rfam family: Bacterial small subunit ribosomal RNA
Source: RNAcentral